GCGCAGCCUGAUGGAGCACACCGCGUGAGUGAAGAAGGGUUUCGGCUCGUAAAGCUCUGUUGUUAAAGAAGAACACGUAUGAGAGUAACUGUUCAUACGUUGACGGUAUUUAACCAGAAAGUCACGGCUAACUACGUGCCAGCAGCCGCGGUAAUACGUAGGUGGCAAGCGUUAUCCGGAUUUAUUGGGCGUAAAGAGAGUGCAGGCGGUUUUCUAAGUCUGAUGUGAAAGCCUUCGGCUUAACCGGAGAAGUGCAUCGGAAACUGGAUAACUUGAGUGCAGAAGAGGGUAGUGGAACUCCAUGUGUAGCGGUGGAAUGCGUAGAUAUAUGGAAGAACACCAGUGGCGAAGGCGGCUACCUGGUCUGCAACUGACGCUGAGACUCGAAAGCAUGGGUAGCGAACAGGAUUAGAUACC
This 417-nucleotide ribosomal RNA is filed under the name Limosilactobacillus fermentum. Its description in RNAcentral is "bacterial SSU rRNA". It matches the Rfam family "Bacterial small subunit ribosomal RNA", at positions 375 to 786 of the family's 1533-position model. The record is from RNAcentral. Lineage: Bacteria; Bacillati; Bacillota; Bacilli; Lactobacillales; Lactobacillaceae.